GAUGAACGCUAGCUACAGGCUUAACACAUGCAAGUCGAGGGGAAACGAUAUUGGAAGCUUGCUUCUGAUAGGCGUCGACCGGCGCACGGGUGAGUAACGCGUAUCCAACCUGCCCAUCACUUGGGGAUAACCUUGCGAAAGUAAGACUAAUACCCAAUGACGUCUCUAGAAGACAUCUGAAAGAGAUUAAAGAUUUAUCGGUGAUGGAUGGGGAUGCGUCUGAUUAGCUUGUUGGCGGGGUAACGGCCCACCAAGGCGACGAUCAGUAGGGGUUCUGAGAGGAAGGUCCCCCACAUUGGAACUGAGACACGGUCCAAACUCCUACGGGAGGCAGCAGUGAGGAAUAUUGGUCAAUGGACGAGAGUCUGAACCAGCCAAGUAGCGUGAAGGAUGAAGGUCCUACGGAUUGUAAACUUCUUUUAUAAGGGAAUAAAACCUCCCACGUGUGGGAGCUUGUAUGUACCUUAUGAAUAAGCAUCGGCUAACUCCGUGCCAGCAGCCG
Molecule: ribosomal RNA, 502 nt
Filed under: uncultured bacterium
Lineage: Bacteria
Description: bacterial SSU rRNA
Rfam family: Bacterial small subunit ribosomal RNA
Source: RNAcentral